RNAcentral lists this long non-coding RNA (1717 nucleotides) under Olea europaea subsp. europaea. The record is from RNAcentral. Lineage: Eukaryota; Viridiplantae; Streptophyta; Magnoliopsida; Lamiales; Oleaceae.
UGAUACUUUUCUGUUUGUAUUUGGUUUUAACAUUUUGCUUCCUUGAAAACAAAAUAUUGCUGGGCAUGGAGUUUUAGAGUUGGGGAGUAUGGUCAUUGAGGUUUGUUACCAAGGCACAAUUCCGGCAAGGUUUCUGGUUUAACAAUGAAAUGCAUAAUACUAAAAAAUGAGAGGAAGUGAUAUAUCUGGUUAUAAAUAGGAGAUUUCAAAUAUUAUUGGCUAAAGCAAGAGAUGCGCAUUUUUCACCACUAAGCAAAUGCUAAAAUAAUAUCUAGCUUAUAAACUUGUAAGUUUCCUAAUCCAGUUUCCGUUGCUGUCUGAGUAGUUUCCCCUCAAUUAAGUUGUCAUAUUCAUGUUCAUUUUAUGCUAGUAUGUGAUUUUGAUAUUAGCCUCUGUUGAUUGGGCUGCCUCCCUAUUCUUGGUUGGCCCAACUUGAGAAAUAUUGGGCCUGGCCGGGUUGAAUCCUUUUAUGGGAAAUGAAAGGCGUUUUUUUGUAAACGCGUUUUUUUCUUUUUACAAUCGCAAGAUCUGUGGACCAUGCACCUGGCAUCUUUGUGACCGUUGGAUUGUUGAUUUUUGGUGGAUUUUUAAAAGGCAUCGUGCCUCUUCAUUUUCAUUCUGAUCUCUGAGUGAAUGGUUCUAGGGUUUUCUUUGUCUUCUCUCUGAGGGUUUUCUGAACUUGUCAUGUUCUUAUAAUUUCUGAAAGCAAUCUCUAAUCUGAGCGAUGUUAGGGUUAUAUAUGAUAUAUGAUCAGUGAGAUUGUAGAAACUGAGUGGUAUGUUAAGAGAGGCGAUAGAAAUCUGAUAUUGAAGAAAGGACAGUUUCUUCAUACAUUCUUGUAUCGAUUCUUUGUGAUUCUUAGUGGAUUCGAGCUUAAUCUACUUUUGUAGAUGUUCAACGGGUGAGUAGGCCUUUGGCUGAACAUCCGGGCCCUUAGGGGCGAAAAAUACUUGUGUUCUUUACGAUUCUGUAAAUUUUUUAUGAUUUUGCUGUAAUCGUUUUUAGAAAAGAUUAAUCCUGAGACCAACAGCCUCUCCAUGUCUCAGCCUUCAGGCAAAGAAUUGAUUUCUUUAUGUAGAACACAUUACAUGGUCAUCAUUGAUUAACCAACUCGCUAUAAAUAGUCGAUGUAUGGGUCAACUGCUUCCAAAACAGUGUAAUGAGCUUUAGUCUUUAGCAUAUGUGAGCAUUAGACCGUGACAACUGAAACAAAAUCCUUGUUUCCUUCAAUGUGAAGCAGGGGAAUAGCUUCGCAAAACAAGGUUGAACAUGGUCAAGACAUUUUUGUGCAGUAGAAUAUGGCAACUCAAGUGUUGCAUCCUUAGAAACCACGGCAGAGUAAUGAGAUGCCCUAGUGUUUUUACAUUUAUAAAGAAAGGAAAGGAAAUGACAUCAUUCUUCCCUGUCAUUUUGUUUCUCUUAAAUUUAAGCAUCCAUUAGAUUCAUAAUGUGCAAUAUCAUACAAUUUCAAAAAUCUUUUGAUUUGAUAUGUCCCCAUCUUCGGCUUGAGAAAUGCUUCCAAUAGUCAAGUGUUUUAAUCACACUCUACUUCUCCUACUAAGGAUAUAAUGAACAGAAUGAAAAGGGAAUUACGGAAGAAAGGAAAAAAGAAAUACAUGAGAUAUGAGCUAUCUGCAGGAAGGAAGGUCGACAAAAACAACAAAAAUAUCAUAGUCAAUUUUGUAAUUCAAUUCUGUUUAGUUUUAUAAGCUUGAUU